Molecule: long non-coding RNA, 430 nt
Organism: Oncorhynchus tshawytscha (Chinook salmon)
Lineage: Eukaryota; Metazoa; Chordata; Actinopteri; Salmoniformes; Salmonidae
Source: Ensembl
GGGGUGGAAAGGUAGGCCUAUUCUGUCUGGGGUGGAAAGGUAGGCCUACAAUGUCUGGGGUGGAAAGGUAGGUCCUACUCUGUCUGGGGUGGAAAGGUAGGCCCUCCUCUGUCUGGGGUGGAAAGGUAGGCCUACAAUGUCUGGGGUGGAAAGGUAGGUCCUACUCUGUCUGGGGUGGAAAGGUAGGCCUACUCUGUCUGGGGUGGAAAGGUAGGCCUACUCUGUCUGGGGUGGAAAGGUAGGCCUACUCUGUCUGGGGUGGAAAGGUAGGCCUCCUCUGUCUGGGGUGGAAAGGUAGGCCUACUCUGUCUGGGGUGGAAAGGUAGGUCCUACUCUGUCUGGGGUGGAAAGGUAGGUCCUACUCUGUCUGGGGUGGAAAGGUAGGUCCUACUCUGUCUGGGGUGGAAAGGUAGGUCCUACUCUGUCUGGG